UACGAAGGGGGCUAGCGUUGCUCGGAAUUACUGGGCGUAAAGCGCACGUAGGCGGCUUUUUAAGUCGGAGGUGAAAUCCUGGAGCUCAACUCCAGAACUGCCUUUGAUACUGAAGAUCUUGAGUUCGGGAGAGGUGAGUGGAACUGCGAGUGUAGAGGUGAAAUUCGUAGAUAUUCGCAAGAACACCAGUGGCGAAGGCGGCUCACUGGCCCGAUACUGACGCUGAGGCACGAAAGCGUGGGGAGCAAACAGG
Molecule: ribosomal RNA, 253 nt
Filed under: uncultured bacterium
Lineage: Bacteria
Description: partial 16S ribosomal RNA
Rfam family: Bacterial small subunit ribosomal RNA
Source: RNAcentral